RNA transcript from Haplochromis burtoni (Burton's mouthbrooder), 258 nucleotides. RefSeq lists it as uncharacterized. Lineage: Eukaryota; Metazoa; Chordata; Actinopteri; Cichliformes; Cichlidae. The record is from RefSeq and is a predicted model, not a curated record. The transcript has 2 exons.
GUAGCGGUUGGCAUACUCUCACUCGCUCUCACUAGAUGACCAAUUAUUAUUGCAAGAGAGACAUCCACCCCCUCACCAGAGGAUUAUAUAUUGAGAGAGAAAGACAUACACACCCCUGUCUCCUCAGUUGUUGUCAACAAGGCAGAAGGAAGAGUGCUGGAAACAUUGCAUUGAAGAAGUGAAUAUGAUUGUUGUCCAACUCAUCAUACUUUUUUUGAUUUUUAACCAACAUGUUGCUGGUUUGACAUGCAAAACAGG